AUUGAACGCUGGCGGCAGGCCUAACACAUGCAAGUCGAGCGGAUGAAGGGAGCUUGCUCCUGGAUUCAGCGGCGGACGGGUGAGUAAUGCCUAGGAAUCUGCCUGGUAGUGGGGGAUAACGUCCGGAAACGGGCGCUAAUACCGCAUACGCCCUGAGGGAGAAAGUGGGGGAUCUUCGGACCUCACGCUAUCAGAUGAGCCUAGGUCGGAUUAGCUAGUUGGUGGGGUAAAGGCCUACCAAGGCGACGAUCCGUAACUGGUCUGAGAGGAUGAUCAGCCACACUGGAACUGAGACACGGUCCAGACUCCUACGGGAGGCAGCAGUGGGGAAUAUUGGACAAUGGGCGAAAGCCUGAUCCAGCCAUGCCGCGUGUGUGAAGAAGGUCUUCGGAUUGUAAAGCACUUUAAGUUGGGAGGAAGGGCAGUAAGUUAAUACCUUGCUGUUUUGACGUUACCAACAGAAUAAGCACCGGCUAACUUCGUG
Molecule: ribosomal RNA, 484 nt
Filed under: uncultured bacterium
Lineage: Bacteria
Description: partial 16S ribosomal RNA
Rfam family: Bacterial small subunit ribosomal RNA
Source: RNAcentral